This is a long non-coding RNA of Acanthopagrus latus (yellowfin seabream), 1790 nucleotides long. RefSeq lists it as uncharacterized. Lineage: Eukaryota; Metazoa; Chordata; Actinopteri; Spariformes; Sparidae. The transcript has 6 exons. The record is from RefSeq and is a predicted model, not a curated record.
AAGUAGGACAGCAUAUCAACAGAAUAAUCGCUAACUGCUGCUUACUGUAGCUGCCUUAAGCUAGUUAGCUCAGGAACAGGGCCUCUGUUGGUGUUUGCACCAGUAGCUCCAACGCUCUACGCUUAUUUCAUAUUGCACCUUUUAAAAGUAAAAUUAUAAAAGUAUGCAAAUUUAAGAUGAUUUACUGUUCUAGAGGACCAAAGACACUCACAGAAAAACUCACACUGAAGAGGCUGAAUUAGGACAAUUAACUUUAAUGCCCAGAAAAAUGAUCUUGCAUUCAUUUUUAUUUUUCUUAAACAGAUAAAUCGCUCUUAUGAGCCACUGAAUUGAUUCCUAUGAGGAAAUAAAACCCUUAUACAGAGACAUUAUUGUUGUCCUUCACAUAUGAUAAAAUGCGACUUUAUGACCCAUGUUUUUUAAAUGACAAAUCUCACAAGGGAAGGCUGAGGUACACUAUUAACUGGGGAAGAAUAACAUCCUCGAGGAAGAAAAGGGGAAAGAAUGACAAGAUUACAACAACCUCUCCUUAGUCACUUUCACACAGUCCGUUUGGGAGCAUGCAGCUCCCUCCCUGUCCAGCAGCAGUCCCCAGUGUGUUGCCACCUUUCCACACCGACUGACCUCCACACCUGCUGCACAUUCCCUUAUCAACUUCCUUCAUUCUUCCUCCUCCUGCCUGUGUCAGCGACCCCGUACCUGCCUGUUGCCAAACUGUUUUCGAAAAAAGAAAGACCUGCCAACUUUUAAGUCCCGGAUAACAACACUGACUGAUGCCCUCCACCUGGAGAAAUCCGACAUAUCCUUAAUGACAGAUGGGAGGAAUUCAGAGGGAUCUGGACACUGAUGAUUUCCUCCAUGGAAGGGACAGACAACGUGCACAUUAGCUGCUCAGGAGCUGGGAUGACCUCUGACCUCCCUGUGGAAGAGGGCCAGGCAGACCGAUUACCUCCAGCGGGGAUCAAUAAAGCAUCACAUUAUCUGCGCCUGGCAUGCCUCACCUGCCCACUAAGCUGCAGCCACUGAUCACCUGAUCAUCACCUGUCUGCACAGUGAGGCUCAUCCCGUCAUUAGUCCCCGGCUGUGUAUGGAACAGGAAGGUUACCUGCUGUUGUUGGACAGGCAUCGCUGCAGUUUCCUGUCUAGUUUCCUGUCCUGCCUUCUGUCUCCGAUAGUUCGCUGUCUCAUCAUGAGGAUUUCACAUUACACUCCCAUCAAUCAAUACCAAUACCAUUGUCAUAUCAUUUAUUUAUAGUGCACAGAAAAGUUGACUUUUACAUAAAGGUCGAAUGGAAAACCGUCAUUCCUAGUUUAAACCUGUUUUGUUCAGUUAAACAGAAAUAACACGCUUCAUAAAACAAACUCAAAACAAUAAACUGCUGUUUUCGCUUCAAAUCACAGGGCUUCACGUCACCUCACCACAUGACGUCACACCGGCGACACGUCUGUCGCACAGCUGCACUUCCAUCGUAAACCAACGUAAACAAGAUACGACUUCGACUUCGCCGCCGUAUUGGAUGCAGCAGCUCUGCCCCCAGUCAGUGGACCCAACUUUACAAAGCUCCUUCUACAAAGUGCUGCAGGUGAUGCUCAGGAGGGAAAUGGCGCUCUCUGCACAUCAACUCUUCAGUCUGGUUUAGCCCUACGCAAUCUGGAAACUGGCAUCACACAACGUUUGUUGGCACUUAUCAAAUAAAGGUCGAUCGAUGUGUAUUAUGGGCAAGUUGCAUGGAUCCCAAUGCAACAACUUUUUAAAGUUUGCCCCGUCCUCGCACUUCAGUAAAACUUCA